This is a long non-coding RNA of Homo sapiens (human), 387 nucleotides long. NCBI's taxonomy places the organism in Eukaryota, Metazoa, Chordata, Mammalia, Primates, Hominidae. The record is from Ensembl.
GUUGGAAAAGGGCUUGCUUCUGUGUCCUUGUGCCCACUUUGAAAAUCCCUGGGAAGUCCUUGGAGUCAGAUGAGCAGGCCUCCGCCACUCUGCCAAAAAGUCUGUUCAAAAAAUAUGGGAGACCUCAAUCAGCUGAAGUUCAACAUGUUCAAAGGUGGACAAAGUUUCUCGUUGCUCUAAGUAAGUUUAAAAUUGAGCCAAAAAGGUCUUGAUUGAUAAGGGUGGCUGAUACAUUUUUGAAUGUUUUCACUGGCAUGAUUCACAAAAUUGUAUAAAUUGUAUAGUCCCAGGCUAUCCCACCAUUAACUGCCUCAUGGGGACUGUCUCUAACUUCCCCAGGACUUGAUCCAUAGGGAAAUGCUUGCAAGAAUAAAAAGCAUUAAUGAA